RNAcentral lists this ribosomal RNA (507 nucleotides) under uncultured bacterium. Its description in RNAcentral is "partial 16S ribosomal RNA". It matches the Rfam family "Bacterial small subunit ribosomal RNA", at positions 28 to 507 of the family's 1533-position model. The record is from RNAcentral.
GACGAACGCUGGCGGCGUGCCUAAUACAUGCAAGUCGAACGCAUUUUCUUUCACCGUAGCUUGCUACACCGAAAGAAAAUGAGUGGCGAACGGGUGAGUAACACGUGGGUAACCUGCCCAUCAGCGGGGGAUAACACUUGGAAACAGGUGCUAAUACCGCAUAAUUCCAUUUACCGCAUGGUAGAUGGGUGAAAGGCGCUUUUGCGUCACUGAUGGAUGGACCCGCGGUGCAUUAGCUAGUUGGUGGGGUAACGGCCUACCAAGGCUGCGAUGCAUAGCCGACCUGAGAGGGUGAUCGGCCACACUGGGACUGAGACACGGCCCAGACUCCUACGGGAGGCAGCAGUAGGGAAUCUUCGGCAAUGGACGCAAGUCUGACCGAGUAACGCCGCGUGAGUGAAGAAGGUUUUCGGAUCGUAAAACUCUGUUGUUAGAGAAGAACAAGGAUGAGAGUGGAAAGUUCAUCCCUUGACGGUAUCUAACCAGAAAGCCACGGCUAACUACGUG